Small nucleolar RNA from Melanotaenia boesemani (Boeseman's rainbowfish), 107 nucleotides. RefSeq annotates it as small nucleolar RNA SNORD22. The transcript has a single exon. The record is from RefSeq and is a predicted model, not a curated record. NCBI's taxonomy places the organism in Eukaryota, Metazoa, Chordata, Actinopteri, Atheriniformes, Melanotaeniidae.
CCUUCAUGAUGACACCUGCACAUGUCUUACGCCUUGUGUUAAUGCCAGACCUGAAAAGGUGAACCCACUGGUGUUACCAUGGCAAUAAGGGGAUAGCUUGUUGGGGU